This 146-nucleotide small RNA is filed under the name Marmota monax (woodchuck). The record is from RNAcentral. Lineage: Eukaryota; Metazoa; Chordata; Mammalia; Rodentia; Sciuridae.
AUCGCUUCUCAGCCUUUUGGCCAAGAUCAAGUGUAAUUCUCCAAAGUCAGCCUUUUCAGCUAGAUUAGAAACUCCUUAAGGAGGAGGACUCUCUAUUUUACACUGUUAUAUGCUUAGGUACCAACAGUACAAAAGCAGGGUUCAAU